GAGGCUAUAGCUAAGUGGUAGAGCGUGUGCUUAGCAUGCACAGGGUCCUGGAUUCAAUCCCCUGUACCUCCA
Molecule: transfer RNA, 72 nt
Filed under: Camelus bactrianus (Bactrian camel)
Lineage: Eukaryota; Metazoa; Chordata; Mammalia; Artiodactyla; Camelidae
Also listed under: 1 other name
Rfam family: tRNA
About the family: Transfer RNA (tRNA) molecules are approximately 80 nucleotides in length. Their secondary structure includes four short double-helical elements and three loops (D, anti-codon, and T loops).
Source: Rfam by way of RNAcentral